This is a long non-coding RNA of Haliotis rufescens (red abalone), 945 nucleotides long. RefSeq lists it as uncharacterized. NCBI's taxonomy places the organism in Eukaryota, Metazoa, Mollusca, Gastropoda, Lepetellida, Haliotidae. The transcript is spliced from 3 exons. The record is from RefSeq and is a predicted model, not a curated record.
GUGUUACAACUGUACAUAUACACACUCAGUCAUAUUUAUAUCCUAUAGGUCAUAUAAUUGCUCACUUCGCGCAUUGCCGGAACAUAUUACUAAGUGAUUUGCAUAGCGUCCAGACGCUGACUGACCUACUUGACCGGCGUGACGUGUCCGUCCCUGACCAGUGCUGGGCAUUACCCAACUCGGGGGCUGCAAGCUGCAGGGUGUGUUAACUUUGUUACCGACUUCAUCAGGCUUGCCAAUCAACAAGUCAUAAGAAAUGGCUCGGGCUUUCCAAAGUGACAUCAUGGCGGAACUAUUUGCUAUCACCGAACAUCUGCAACACCUUCUCGGGAGACAGGAGAUUUUGCGGGCGGAUCUACUGUAUGGUGACAGGGGUGCUAGGGUGAGUUCAUUCAUUGGAGGUGGAAGAGCAAGCCCAGGCGAUGUUCAGACAUUAGUGAAUCACAUUUGCACUGUGCUUGUCCGUCUGACCGGAACGUACCGACUCAACUCCAGUCUUGUCGGAUCACGUGGCAAUCUCACACCAGAUACCCGUUCCCACCUCAACCGCCGCACGCCAGUCCAGGAGACUUUGGAAGGGUCACGUGGUACAAUGAGCCUAGCCGUUUGCUGAUUGGCUCGAUGGAUAUCGAUGACGUCAUACAAAUAUGAAAUUGUACAGAACCAUGACUAAAUAGACAGUUGAUACAAAUGUUGGUCAAGGCAGGUGGACAUAGGGCUGAUUGUGCUCAACCCUCGCCCACCCACAUUAUGUUUGGCUUAUGCGUUUUGGUUAAAGAGACCCACAAAAGUAUUACCCAAACAAGAACGGCAAGUAUCAUAUGUGCCUUAAAGAGAAAUAUGUCCAUGAAAGGGCAAUACACACAGUAUAUUUUUAUGUCCCAAUCUGUAUGGUUGGAUCAUGCAUUUUUCUACUUUUAAAUAAACUGCUCAUUAUUUUGGAGA